Non-coding RNA from Eubacterium plexicaudatum ASF492, 211 nucleotides. NCBI's taxonomy places the organism in Bacteria, Bacillati, Bacillota, Clostridia, Eubacteriales, Eubacteriaceae. The record is from Rfam.
UCUAACUGAUAUUCCAAGAAGUGGAAUGACGGGGUAACGCCCUGAAACGCUUCCCUUGAUACUGCGUUGGAAGAAACGGGACGUAUUUCCCGCGACUGACACAGCACGCUGAAGCGGAAGAACGCUCUGACAGCGGCGGGACACGCGUGCUCCCGGAUGCCGCCGUGGAUGAGAUCUACCGCCUGAAAGCGGAAUUCCCAAGGCUGAACGC